UCACUGAUGGAUGGACCCGCGGUGCAUUAGCUAGUUGGUGAGGUAACGGCUCACCAAGGCCACGAUGCAUAGCCGACCUGAGAGGGUGAUCGGCCACACUGGGACUGAGACACGGCCCAGACUCCUACGGGAGGCAGCAGUAGGGAAUCUUCGGCAAUGGACGAAAGUCUGACCGAGCAACGCCGCGUGAGUGAAGAAGGUUUUCGGAUCGUAAAACUCUGUUGUUAGAGAAGAACAAGGAUGAGAGUAGACGUUCAUCCCUUGACGGUAUCUAACCAGAAAGCCACGGCUAACUACGUGCCAGCAGCCGCGGUAAUACGUAGGUGGCAAGCGUUGUCCGGAUUUAUUGGGCGUAAAGCGAGCGCAGGCGGUUUCUUAAGUCUGAUGUGAAAGCCCCCGGCUCAACCGGGGAGGGUCAUUGGAAACUGGGAGACUUGAGUGCAGAAGAGGAGAGUGGAAUUCCAUGUGUAGCGGUGAAAUGCGUAGAUAUAUGGAGGAACACCAGUGGCGAAGGCGGCUCUCUGGUCUGUAACUGACGCUGAGGCUCGAAAGCGUGGGGAGCGAACAGGAUUAGAUACCCUGGUAGUCCACGCCGUAAACGAUGAGUGCUAAGUGUUGGAGGGUUUCCGCCCUUCA
RNAcentral lists this ribosomal RNA (636 nucleotides) under uncultured bacterium. Its description in RNAcentral is "bacterial SSU rRNA". It matches the Rfam family "Bacterial small subunit ribosomal RNA", at positions 215 to 842 of the family's 1533-position model. The record is from RNAcentral.